CACAGCUCUGUAAAGUCGGUUUUCUAUUUUCUUUAUCGGCAGCGUGGAGUGGGAGUGAAGAAGAUAAGGGGGUUCAGUGCGGGGGUUUAGUCCGUCGGAAGGUGGGGGCUAGGGUAGGCGGCGGCUGGUUGGAAGCGGCGAGGAUUGGUGUCGCCGUCAGCUAUUGGGAGGCGGCAGGGGCUGGGACCGGAGUGGGAAGCGGUGGGGGCUGGGGAUGGCGUGGACCGAAGGAAGGACUGAUGGAACCGCCCGAUCCCAAACUGCGGCGGCAGGGAGGACCAGCAGGAGGCCAACCAGAGAUCUCCUUUGCCGAAGAUGGGAGGAAGGCUUGGGACACUCGUGCCUAUACCGAGGAGGGUGGCGAGGAGGGAGAGGACGAACCUCGGCGGACACUGGUGCCUAGACCGAGAGGAGGUGGUCGCCGCCUACCCUACCGCGCCAAGGUGGAGAAGAGGUGUUCGCGGCCGACUCUGCUGCACCUAAGCGUAGAGGAGGAGGGAGGAAAGGUGCCGGCGGAAAUAGGCAACGCGGGGGCGGAACGUCAAGGCGAAGACCUGCCUCUAAACCUCCUCAUGGGCGGCGAGUGCCACCGAAGUUCGGAACAAGGGUUGACCGGGAUCUCCGUGUUAAAAUACCGAGUAAAUAUAUACCCCCGUCCCCCGAAGUUCGGAAAAAGGGUUGGGCGGCGAGUGCCACCGAAGUUCGGAAGAAGUGAUUCCCACGUUCGAGCUGACUAAGUUGCCAGACGGAACCACACUACCGAGGAGCAGUUGUUGGUCCAACUGCUACCGGAUACGAUCGAAAGACGACCUUCACAAAGACGACGGAGGGGUUCUACGACCUUCCAGUGGAGGUAGCUACGAGAGAGGCGGCGAAGGUGUUCGGCAGUCUGACAUGUCAAGACGUUCCAUGUUCAACGAGGAUGGCACGAGGGAGGCGACGGACACGAACGAUACUAUAGACCGACGAUUACGACGAGAAAGAGGAGAGGAUACCAAAAUACAGGGAUAAGAUGUACGGUACAGUUCGAUGUAGGAGAAGAAAGAAUCGACGUCCACGAGGUACGUGAUCCUAUAUGAGGGAGACAAAGAUUUAUAUUCUACAAAACCUUCAAAUUUAAUCUGACGGUUUUGUAGAAUAUAAAUCCUUGCCCACAUCAUAUAUUUUUAGAUGGAGAAUGACUCGAGAACAACAUAUAACCAUUCUCUUUAUACGAAACUUAGUAGAGGUGCUCCUACAUCUUAAUGUAAAUACCUUCCAAGUAUAAGUUAAAUGAUUUUUGUACUUCGUUACUAGAGGAAAAUUUAUACAAACUGAUCAUUUACCAUAAAGACACAUCGUCGACACACGCGUUCUUUCUAUUAUGUUCUAUAGUGGGUGAAAGUACGGACACGAGUUAUUUCACUGUAAUCACUUUUCAUUUUUGACUGUUGACAUGAAUGACCAUCUGAACAUGGAUCUCGUUCAUAUCCCAGAACAUCUGACUACGUUCUUCUUUAAUUUUGGUCAGGUUUGUCCAUGAAAUACUAAAAAACAACCUACAGAAGUAAGAUCGAUUUCUACUGGAACUUCAAUUAACAGGAGGUAGAACGACACUACAAGUUGAAAGAGACAAAAUAAAGCUUAUAAGAUAAAAAGGACAGCAUUACUAUCAGUACGUCAUUCACUGUUAUGAUACAGUCUCACUACAACGAGACGAAACAUGGUUGAAUCUUAAGUACAAAAUCUGAUUGGAGUUUAAAGUCGAGCCGUAAUAUUGAAUCCAGAACUUUCCAAACUGUGUUAGAACUUCCACAACCUCCAACCCGUUCUAGGCGUUCCGCAGGUAUGAUCAAAAAAGACGAUUAAAACCAUCAUCGAAGAGACAAACACAAGACGUUUUAGGCUGCCUUUUUUGUUCACGAUACAAAAAUAUUAUAUCUACUACUAUAAGUCGUUGAUUUCAAACACGGAAAGAAAGGUCAAAAGUCAAUGUACGAAUAGACGCACUGUGGAUUACACAGUUAGGAUUACACGGUGCUUAAGAGCAAAAUCCUUUUUCUUACCUUUUCCUUAUCUUCUUCUGUUACGACUUCGUGUUCUCGUACUCUCCGAUCGAAAUGAAUUUCGUUCCUUAUCACUACUAAAACUUGCUAAACCCAGGAAAUGUAAGAGUUUAGAUUUUCUUCUAAAAUCUCCUGCUCGGUCAGUCGCUGUUUCAUUUUCUUUCUUCCAAAGAGUUUCUAACUGUUCAACUAACUCCAAACCUUCUAGAUGUCCAACUACUUCUAAUACUUGCGGAUGCUAAUUCAGUCACAUCACUGUUACCUUAUACGGAACAAACAACUUGGACCUCUGAACGAGACGAGUAAAACAACCAACAAUUCAGUUACAUACGAGUACAACCAACACACCACGUAGCGCUUUAUUUACACAAAGAGGAAAAAACCGUGUUGAAGUCGAACCAACGCACCGUGUAGAUUUUUGUUUACCUUCGUGAAGAAAACACCGUGUUGCAGAAACAUAUACUAACGAUACUAAUAACUUACUUCAAGUUAUGAAAACUG
RNAcentral lists this ribosomal RNA (2546 nucleotides) under Triticum aestivum (bread wheat). RNAcentral describes it as "partial small subunit ribosomal RNA". Lineage: Eukaryota; Viridiplantae; Streptophyta; Magnoliopsida; Poales; Poaceae. The record is from RNAcentral.